UGACCUGCGGAAGGAUCAUUACCGUUCCAUACAAAACCAUGAGGCGAACAACUUUCGCACCUCAUACACUGUGAACUUUACCAAACUUUUAGGGGUAGGCUUUUACAAAUCUUUAAAUGGAAGUCUGGUGGCAAGUUUUUUUGGCUUGCUUACCGUUCCGGCCCCGUUUGUGUUUUAAGUUCAAUCGACUUGUUUGAGACUGUAAGUGAGGAAAAGCAAAACAAAACAAGAGACAACUUUUAACGGUGGAUCUCUUGGCUCGUGCAUCGAUGAAGAACGCAGCCAGCUGCGAUAAGUAGUGUGAAUUGCAGAAUUCAGUGAAUCAUCGAGUCUUUGAACGCAAAUGGCGCUCUUGGGUUCUCCCAGGAGCAUGUCUGUCUGAGUGUCGGUAUACAAACUAUCGCACGCCGCUGCUGCCUGCAUGCAGCGGGCCGGUGCGGCGUUGAGGUGUCGCAGAGACUUCGUUUUUUCUGCGUCCUUUGAAAAGUAGUGACAAAGCCGGUGGGUGGCGUAGAACGCACGCAAUUCCGGAGGCCAAAACACAACGUUCGUCCUCACGGUUGUUUGCGUUGUCUCGCGUGCCA
This 584-nucleotide ribosomal RNA is filed under the name Hydrozoanthus gracilis. RNAcentral's name for it is "eukaryotic LSU rRNA". The stretch from base 235 to 388 matches the Rfam family "5.8S ribosomal RNA". The record is from RNAcentral. Lineage: Eukaryota; Metazoa; Cnidaria; Anthozoa; Zoantharia; Hydrozoanthidae.